UUAAAUUGAAGAGUUUGAUCAUGGCUCAGAUUGAACGCUGGCGGCAGGCCUAACACAUGCAAGUCGAACGGUAACAGGAAGCAGCUUGCUGCUUCGCUGACGAGUGGCGGACGGGUGAGUAAUGUCUGGGAAACUGCCUGAUGGAGGGGGAUAACUACUGGAAACGGUAGCUAAUACCGCAUAACGUCGCAAGACCAAAGAGGGGGACCUUCGGGCCUC
This 219-nucleotide ribosomal RNA is filed under the name Escherichia coli. Its description in RNAcentral is "partial 16S ribosomal RNA". It matches the Rfam family "Bacterial small subunit ribosomal RNA", at positions 1 to 216 of the family's 1533-position model. Lineage: Bacteria; Pseudomonadati; Pseudomonadota; Gammaproteobacteria; Enterobacterales; Enterobacteriaceae. The record is from RNAcentral.